UGCUCCUCCUCCAGAUGGAUUUAGAAUUCGAGGAUCGAUAAUACUGCCAUCUCUGCAGAGCGAUGGAAUAACGCAGGAAUAUGAGCGGUUAGCAAACAGAUCGUGGGCGUAAAGCUGAAACUGACCCAGUAUUAAAUAUACAUUUUUGGUAGAUGCACUUUUAAACCACGUCGAAAAAUAUAUGAGAAUCCUUUUGGAAA
Dendroctonus ponderosae (mountain pine beetle) is the source of this 200-nucleotide long non-coding RNA. RefSeq lists it as uncharacterized. NCBI's taxonomy places the organism in Eukaryota, Metazoa, Arthropoda, Insecta, Coleoptera, Curculionidae. The record is from RefSeq and is a predicted model, not a curated record. The transcript is spliced from 2 exons.